Molecule: transfer RNA, 88 nt
Filed under: Ilumatobacter fluminis
Lineage: Bacteria; Bacillati; Actinomycetota; Acidimicrobiia; Acidimicrobiales; Ilumatobacteraceae
Also listed under: 2 other names
Description: tRNA-Ser
Rfam family: tRNA
About the family: Transfer RNA (tRNA) molecules are approximately 80 nucleotides in length.
Source: RNAcentral
GGAGAGGUGCCAGAGCGGCCGAAUGGGAGUCCCUGCUAAGGACUUGACCUCUUUUCGGGGUCCGUGGGUUCAAAUCCCACCCUCUCCG